ACGUAGGAGGCGAGCGUUAUCCGGAUUUACUGGGCGUAAAGCGCGUGCAGGCGGCUCGAAAAGUUGGAUGUGAAAGCUCCUGGCUUAACUGGGAGAGGUCGUUCAAUACUUUCGAGCUAGAGGAUGGGAGAGGGAGGUGGAAUUCCGGGUGUAGUGGUGGAAUGCGUAGAGAUCGGGAGGAACACCAGUGGCGAAAGCGGCACCCUGGCAUUGGCCUGACGCUGAGGUGCGAAAGCGUGGGGAGCAAACGG
RNAcentral lists this ribosomal RNA (251 nucleotides) under uncultured prokaryote. RNAcentral describes it as "partial 16S ribosomal RNA". It matches the Rfam family "Bacterial small subunit ribosomal RNA", at positions 525 to 775 of the family's 1533-position model. The record is from RNAcentral.